This is a long non-coding RNA of Paramisgurnus dabryanus, 965 nucleotides long. RefSeq lists it as uncharacterized. NCBI's taxonomy places the organism in Eukaryota, Metazoa, Chordata, Actinopteri, Cypriniformes, Cobitidae. The record is from RefSeq and is a predicted model, not a curated record.
AACUGCUCCAUAGAGAGGUGGCGCUGAUGCUAAAAUUAAGAGAAGCCCCUGAAUGCCCACCAGUCAUAAAAAUUUAUGACUGGUACGAGGAACGCACCUGGGUCAUGCUUGUCCUCGAGUACCAAAGGGACUGGAAGGACUUGUAUUCCUAUAUCGAUAAAAAGGGAAUGAAGGAAGACAAAGCUCACCACCUUAUGCUUCAAUUAGUAAGAGCAGAUCAACACUGCUUGAAGCAUGAGGUGCUUCACAAUGAUAUCCAUUCUGGAAACAUCAUGGUGGAUGAAAGUGGUUUGCACCUGAAGUUAACAAACUUUAGGUGGGUCGUCUAGUCAAAAGCACUGGCUACACAUCCAAACCACGUGAAGGAGCUAAAUGUUGCAUUCCACCUGAGGCCUUAACGAGGUUGCAAUACUUGGCCAUGCCAGCAACCGUCUGGGCCUUAGGUGUGGUGCUCUAUGAGAUGGUGCACGGAUUUCCACCCUUGCAACGAUUAGGCGUAGUAAGGAUUACGGGACGCAAUUUAACCAUGAUGGUUCUGGAUCUGGCCAGUCCUGCAACAAAAGCCAGCAUCAGUCUGGACCACACCAAACCAAAAGCACUUAAAGCGCCCCUUUGACUGCAUCCGGAGGGGCAAAGUGGAGACAGUGCCGGAUCCACAGCCUCCAGUCAGUUCGAGCAAUCCUUCUUCAAAGGAUUCCUCAGAUCUGGCCAGUCAGUCGAAGGUGGUUAAAGGUGGUCCAGAAGAACCAACAUCAAUUGAAGAUUACCUCCGGAAAAAAAAAAGAUGUGGAGCACCAUGUGAUGCUUCCACACAGGGCAGAUCAGGCACAUCCUGAUGCCACGGAUAAAGCCAGUCUGCCUAUUUCCAAGACUCGUGUGAGUCUUGAAAGAACCGACGUGCAUGUCAGGCAAUCUAAAUAUCCGAUGCCGGAUGUGGCCAAAAAUCCAGCGGCUAAAGUGUCCAA